RNAcentral lists this non-coding RNA (28 nucleotides) under Bombyx mori (domestic silkworm). The record is from RNAcentral. Lineage: Eukaryota; Metazoa; Arthropoda; Insecta; Lepidoptera; Bombycidae.
UCAUAAGUGUCUUGAACGACGGGAAUGA